GGUCCAGACUUUGAUUAUGGCUCAGGAUGAACGCUAGCGGCAGGCUUAACACAUGCAAGUCGAGGGGCAGCGCGGGGCAGCAAUGUUCUGGCGGCGACCGGCGGAAGGGUGCGUAACGCGUGAGCGACAUGCCCGUUGCCCGGGGACAACCGGUGGAAACGCCGACUAAUCCCCGAUGGGACGGAGGCCCUCAUGGGUCUCCGUUGAAAGUUACGGCGGCGACGGAUUGGCUCGCGUCCGAUUAGCUUGUUGGCGGGGUAACGGCCCACCAAGGCUACGAUCGGUAGGGGUUCUGAGAGGAAGGUCCCCCACAAUGGAACUGAGACACGGUCCAUACUCCUACGGGAGGCAGCAGUGAGGAAUAUUGGUCAAUGGGCGGAAGCCUGAACCAGCCAUGCCGCGUGCGGGAAGGAGGCCCUAUGGGCUGUGAACCGCUUUUGCCUGGGGGCAAUAAGGGCGUCGUGCACGUCCGAUGAGAGUACCAGGCGAAUAAGCAUCGGCUAACUCCGUGCCAGCAACCGCGGUAAUACGGGGGAUGCGAGCGUUAUCCGGAUUCAUUGGGUUUAAAGGGUGCGUAGGCUGUGCGUCAAGUCAGGGGUGAAAUUCCGGGGCUCAACUCCGGGGCUGCCCUUGAUACUGUCGCGCUGGAGUGCGGAUGCCGCCGGAGGAAUGAGUGGUGUAGCGGUGAAAUGCCUAGAUAUCACUCAGAACACCGAUUGCGAAGGCAUCUGGCGAAUCCGUAACUGACGCUGAGGCACGAAAGCGUGGGGAUAGAACAGGAUUAGAUACCCUGGUAUUCCACGCCGUAAACGAUGAUGGCUAACCGCCGGCGACACACUGUCGGUGGCCAAGCGAAAGCGAUAAGCCAUCCACCUGGGGAGUACGUCGGCAACGAUGCAACUCAAAGGAAUUGACGG
This 917-nucleotide ribosomal RNA is filed under the name uncultured Bacillota bacterium. Its description in RNAcentral is "bacterial SSU rRNA". It matches the Rfam family "Bacterial small subunit ribosomal RNA", at positions 1 to 916 of the family's 1533-position model. Lineage: Bacteria; Bacillati; Bacillota. The record is from RNAcentral.